GAGUUUGAUCCUGGCUCAGGACGAACGCUGGCGGCGUGCCUAAUACAUGCAAGUCGAACGCUUCUUUCCUCCCGAGUGCUUGCACUCAAUUGGAAAGAGGAGUGGCGGACGGGUGAGUAACACGUGGGUAACCUACCCAUCAGAGGGGGAUAACACUUGGAAACAGGUGCUAAUACCGCAUAACAGUUUAUGCCGCAUGGUAUAAGAGUGAAAGGCGCUUUCGGGUGUCGCUGAUGGAUGGACCCGCGGUGCAUUAGCUAGUUGGUGAGGUAACGGCUCACCAAGGCCACGAUGCAUAGCCGACCUGAGAGGGUGAUCGGCCACACUGGGACUGAGACACGGCCCAAACUCCUACGGGAGGCAGCAGUAGGGAAUCUUCCACAAUGGACGCAAGUCUGAUGGAGCAACGCCGCGUGAGUGAAGAAGGUUUUCGGAUCGUAAAACUCUGUUGUUAGAGAAGAACAAGGACGUUAGUAACUGAACGUCCCCUGACGGUAUCUAACCAGAAAGCCACGGCUAACUACGUGCCAGCAGCCGCGGUAAUACGUAGGUGGCAAGCGUUGUCCGGAUUUACUGGGCGUAAAGGGAGCGUAGGCGGAUUUUUAAGUGGGAUGUGAAAUACCCGGGCUCAACCUGGGAACUGCAUUCGAAACUGGCAGGCUAGAGUCUUGUAGAGGGGGGUAGAAUUCCAGGUGUAGCGGUGAAAUGCGUAGAGAUCUGGAGGAAUACCGGUGGCGAAGGCGGCCCCCUGGACGAAGACUGACGCUCAGGUGCGAAAGCGUGGGGAGCAAACAGGAUUAGAUACCCUGGUAGUCCACGCCGUAAACGAUGUCGACUUGGAGGUUGUGCCCUUGAGGCGUGGCUUCCGGAGCUAACGCGUUAAGUCGACCGCCUGGGGAGUACGGCCGCAAGGUUAAAACUCAAAUGAAUUGACGGGGGCCCGCACAAGCGGUGGAGCAUGUGGUUUAAUUCGAUGCAACGCGAAGAACCUUACCUGGUCUUGACAUCCACAGAACUUUCCAGAGAUGGAUUGGUGCCUUCGGGAACUGUGAGACAGGUGCUGCAUGGCUGUCGUCAGCUCGUGUUGGGAAAUGUUGGGUUAAGUCCCGCAACGAGCGCAACCCUUAUCCUUUGUUGCCAGCGGUCCGGCCGGGAACUCAAAGGAGACUGCCAGUGAUAAACUGGAGGAAGGUGGGGAUGACGUCAAGUCAUCAUGGCCCUUACGACCAGGGCUACACACGUGCUACAAUGGCGCAUACAAAGAGAAGCGACCUCGCGAGAGCAAGCGGACCUCAUAAAGUGCGUCGUAGUCCGGAUUGGAGUCUGCAACUCGACUCCAUGAAGUCGGAAUCGCUAGUAAUCGUGGAUCAGAAUGCCACGGUGAAUACGUUCCCGGGCCUUGUACACACCGCCCGUCACACCAUGGGAGUGGGUUGCAAAAGAAGUAGGUAGCUUAACCUUCGGGAGGGCGCUUACCACUUUGUGAUUCAUGACUGGGGUGAAGUCGUAACAAGGUAACC
RNAcentral lists this ribosomal RNA (1520 nucleotides) under human gut metagenome. RNAcentral describes it as "bacterial SSU rRNA". It matches the Rfam family "Bacterial small subunit ribosomal RNA". The record is from RNAcentral.